This is a long non-coding RNA of Taeniopygia guttata (zebra finch), 3666 nucleotides long. The record is from Ensembl. Lineage: Eukaryota; Metazoa; Chordata; Aves; Passeriformes; Estrildidae.
AGCCACUCAGGGAUAUGGUGUGCAGCUGCUGAGCCUCAGAGCCAACCUCCAAGAGUCCUGGCAUGGAUUUUAGUGGGAUUUACUGCACUGAAAUACAGAAAAUCUUGUUGCCUUUAGGAUUAGCCUCUUCAUUUACACAUACAGUAGUGCAUGCUGUCUGGGUCCACUGCCUUGCACAUGGUGCUUAGUCCUUCAAUUACCACCAAAAGAACUGCUCACAGGACACCCACAAUUUUAAUUCCUUCUAUCAGCAGUCAUUGCAGUGGGGCAGCUUCCAACUGUUACUGGAGCAAGGACCAUCAGGAAUUUCAUCACAGUCAACCUAACUCAGAUUAAUUUAUACUCAUUAUGAAUGAUCCCGGGUCAUCAAAUACAGAUUAGUGAUACUGCAGUACAGGAGUUUUACAGUGCUCUUUGAACUAAAAUGUAGUUAUUUCAUUAGAAAUGUUCUAAGUUUCCAUUACAAAUGGUAAAUAACAAGGCUGGAGCAAGGGGGACUGAGGAAAGGCUGCCCAGGCAGGAGCAAUGCAGCCCUCAGCCUCCAUGGCCCCCAGAGCCUGCUCAGGGGGCACAGCUGCACUGCAGGGUAGCAUCCCACAAGAAUAACAGAUAAACACACUCACUUCACAAGCCACUGGGCACUAUAUUUCUUCUGAUGAGAACCAUCCAUUAUUCUUCCAUCCUCCUCUGUGUGUCACAUUAGUGAGCGGUUUUACAAAGCAAGUCAGGGGACAGCUUUAUUUACUCCCAGCCGCACUGCAUGGCACCCAGCUCCAGCGGUAUUGGUUACACAUGACCUCAGGUCUUCCAUUAUGGGCUAAUGUCUGCAGCCCUCUGACCUCCGGAAGUGCUUGAGGAAGAGCUGCAGUAAAUCAGAGCAGCACUUAGAGAUGGAAGAAGAAAGUCCCUCCUUAUCAAUCUGCCAGUGGGAGAGGAAGGACUCUGGCUGGGCUGCUGCAGGGUGAUGUGCACGCAGCUGCUCGGAAAACUCCACAGACAGAAGCAGCCCUUGCAUUGCACAUUGCCACCAUGGACUGUAGGAGUGAAGCAGAGCAACAUAAACCUGGCUGUUUUCCUCUCUCAGCCUGGACUGGCAGGGGCAAUCCCAGCCACUCGCUUCACAGGGCAGGUCCUGUCUGUGAACAUCCCUGCUUGGCAUGCACAGACCCUUCAACUGCUUCCCCUUGCAGGAUGCCUGGUCUCACACACUGACUCCAUGGUAAAGCGAGGGCCAACCCAACCCUAAUCCUAACCCUGCACAAAGGUCUAUAAUCAAUCCUUACCACUCAGCUUCUUACCAGAGGACAUGAGCAGUCUGUGCAGUCUCAGCUAAUUCAUCAUAAUGGAGUUAACCCAAGGAUGCUAUUAAACACCCUGUGUGGCAGAGUAUGAGAAAUUACAGGUGGAAGUAAUAAUUUAACCACAAAACACCACACUUGCAAGUCAUCAUCAGUACAAGCAGUUCUUCCCGUGAGAGUGGAAACAGGCAAAUUUGCCACAUCCUGUGCCGACAGGUGGAGCCCCAGAAGGACACAGAGUGGGGAGAGCAUUAGGGAACAAAGCUCCUAUCUCUGCUGGUCCUGCAAUUAGUAGGAGAUUUCAAAACUAGUAACAAGCAGCUAUCGGGGAGGCCCAAAGAACACUGGGAUGGGACUAGGUACUUCUCUGUUCUGGAUGGGCCUUGAAGGGGAGAGGAUGAAGAUCUGCCAAUGAAAUGCAUAACUUAUCCCUUACAAUCAAGGCAAGAGGACCUUAGAGAACAAAAAAAUCAAGGUGUCAAUAUCACUUUCCCUUCCCAUUUAUCUCCUACACAGUUCAAGUCUUCAUCUCUUUCUCAGAGUGCCUGGCUCAGUCAGAGCUCUCUAUCCCAAAGACAAUCCUAUACCUCAUACAGUUUGGUUUUUUUAAUUUUAAUUUUGCUGUCCAAGAAACAAAUGAAAAAGCAGCUGAUGAGCUUGAUCAGAUCUGGAGAAGGCUUGAGGAUCCAACAUCCCAUCUCCAUCCUUCACUCCGAGAGCAAGAAUACUACCCAACAUAAAAAGCAAGGGAAGAAAAGGGAACAAAAGGAUUUUUAAUGUAAUCAAAUGUGUCAUAUGUCUAAAAAGUAUUCUGCUAUAACAAACACUGCAAUUUUACUCUCCCAUAACUGUUUCUUGGCUCCUUUUACACAUUCCAGUACAGCAGCAUCACAGAUUCACUAUAGGAAGGACUUAGUCCCUCAGCUGAUGUAGGUCACUGCCAGACCAGCAUUAUCCUCUUUGUAUGAGGACUGGCUCUUUAGGGAAAGGCAGGGUGUAACAUCUAGCAAAAGGAAAGGCUUCGCCCUUAGGAUAUAGGAAAUACUAUCAGAAAGAACUCUUUUUUCUGGCCAAGAUUAAGAUCCAUACAAGAUUCUCCAAGGGUGGGGAAUCACCUCCUAAUGACAACUCAUUAGGUCACCUGGAGGGGUUUUUUAUGGUUUAUGUGCUUUGGGGUUUUUGUAUUCUAUUGCAAAAGGAAGUUUACAGUGGAGAGGUUUUUGCUCAGCUACAAUUAGAGACGGGCGCAGACCAAAACCUCCUAGUUACAGAAUCCCAGAUCUUGGAAAUGCCCACACUUCCAAGUUCAGAACAAAUUUUCCACUACAUAAGGACCAGUAAUUGGGGUUUUUAACAUGUAAAUAUUAAAACUAACCAGCAACACAAACACAGAGAUUGCAGAAGGAACAGCAUGUUUCCAUACAAACAAUGCAACAAAGAUUUUUUUAAAGAAUCAGCAGCACCCACUGGGAUCCUGGGAGCCUGGAUUCAUGAAGACAGCAAAUGUGACACCCCUUUUUUCCUCACCUCAAUAACUAUCUGCUUGCUGUUUACUUGGUGUUUCAGAAGUACUAAGCCACAAGAUCCUGUCUUGUCAAUUCUGUCACAUUUCAUGUGACAGCUGUCCCUCUUCCACAUUAUGAUAACGACUUUGAAAUUCAUUUGGCAUUUCAGCUCCCUUCCUGCUUCUCUCAACAGCUACACAAAUGAUGUCAACACAUACAGAACAAUAGCGAAUCGUGAGCUGAUAAGCACAAAGUGCACAGGAGCCUGUUUUCACAGCGUGAUCACCAAAAAGAUUUUAAUGCACACAUUAAAAAAAUGUAUAGAAUCACCAUUUCUCAUGGAAAUAAGGGAGCCAGAAUUUAUUGCUCUGUUCAUGUUGAAGGUCCCAGGUGUUGCUAAGCACUGAUGUAGAUGGAUCUUGCAAAACAGAAAGCUAAGCUAGGCAGACCCGAGCUGUCUCAAAGACAAAACUGAACUGUCCCACAUGCGUGUCUCAGUUGUCACAGUCACCAGGGCCAUUACCUUCUGCUACACUUGAAGGAAGGAGCAGGACCACAGCCCAGCUCCCCACACCAAAUACACAUUAUGUGACACUUACAUACAUUUACGCAGCCUAGCUUCCCAAACCAAAUACACAUUAUAUGACAUUUACACUACAAGCCAAAGUUUCUCAAAGACAUACACUACCAAAUGAAUGCGUAAUGAUAGCUUAUCACAGUCCUAUACUUUCUCUACAAAUGUAGCUAGGAUAAAACACAACACAUUGGGUUCUUCAGAGGUUUCUCUUUUCGUACUUACUUCAUCUUUUUCAGUGCCUAAGUUGAUUCAAAUAUUUCUCUAACAAAAAGAAAGAAAAAAAAAA